This 135-nucleotide small nuclear RNA is filed under the name Ursus thibetanus thibetanus. Its description in RNAcentral is "U4 spliceosomal RNA (ENSUTTG00000012499.1)". It matches the Rfam family "U4 spliceosomal RNA". From Rfam's summary of the family: U4 small nuclear RNA (U4 snRNA) is a component of the major U2-dependent spliceosome. The structure of U4 snRNA from yeast and human has been reported. The record is from RNAcentral. Lineage: Eukaryota; Metazoa; Chordata; Mammalia; Carnivora; Ursidae.
AGCUUUGCACAGUGGCAGUAUCGUAGCCAAUGAGGUUUAUCCGAGGCGCGAUUAUUGCUAAUUAAAAACUUUUCCUAAUAAAGUUUAUACAUAAUAUUAUUAGUUGUAUAUAUGAUUAUUAUAUAUUACAUAAUA